Long non-coding RNA from Capra hircus (goat), 1453 nucleotides. RefSeq lists it as uncharacterized. The transcript is spliced from 4 exons. Lineage: Eukaryota; Metazoa; Chordata; Mammalia; Artiodactyla; Bovidae. The record is from RefSeq and is a predicted model, not a curated record.
AGCUCUGUGUUCCACAUUUGCUUUUCUAUCAAGCAGAAGACUAACCACUUCAGUUCUUCCUUGGAAGCAGGCUAAGAAAAUGUGCAAUUAUGCAUCUGUCACCCUCAUGGGACUAUCUAUUACUGGAAGGGAUUGUGGAACUUGAGCAAUGAAUGGCACUCUAGCACAGCCCUCUCCAAAAUCAACAUUAUCUCCAACCACUACAAGUAAUUUUCUUUUCAUAAGUUUUUAUCUUAUCUGUAUCAAUUUCUAAAGUAUACCACUCUCUCUUAUAUACUUCUCAUUAUUUCUAUUUUACCUUCCAUAUUACAGUGAUAAUUUGAAUAUCUUUUUAAUACUACCAAUGACAAGAUAUUACUACAGAUUUCUGGGUUUCAAAAGGAUGGAGAACCAACUGCAUUCUUGUGAUUCAGAAUAUCAGCACAGGAAGAACUUUCAGGUCAUACAGUAUAAAGGUUAAACUGGAAGAAUGCCUUUAUUCCCCCCCACAGAAUUGCUUUAUUUUUCCCUAUCUUUCUGUACUCCUACUAAUUUUUCCAACCAGAGGAACCUCUUUUGUUACAUCAUCAUGGUAUCUAUCUUUCUAAACUUUAUCCAGCCCCAAGCAUAACAUCUCAGAUGAUGUCUUCACCUCUUCUGAGCUUUCUGCUUAUCCUUUCCCUAUGACACCUCUUUAUAAUCUAAGAAUGACCUCAGUAUUUCACCCUUCUCACUAAAAGUUAUCUGAGGGGACUGCCCUGGUGGAUCAGUGGCAAAAAAAUCCACUUGCCUAUACAGGAGACAGGAAUUCAAUCCCUGAUCUGGGAAGAUCCCACAUGCCGCAGAACAACAAAACCCCUGCACCAUAACUACUCAGCUCGUGCUCUAGAGCCCAGGGAGCCACAGUUACUGAGGCCUGUGCACCCUUGAGCCUGUGCCCCACAAGAAGAGAAGCCUGCAAUGAGAAGCCCACGUGCUGCAUCUAGAGAGCAUCCCCCACUUGCCAUAACUAGAAAAAGACCCAGCACAGCCAAAAAAUUAAAUAAACAACUCUUUUAAAACAAAAAAUAAGGUAUCUGAAAGAAAAUAUUACUUAUCUUUUUAACUCCUUUAUUCAGUAAUGCUUUGAAUGGUACAGGUACAAUUUAUUUCCUAAACUACAGUGAAAUGCCCCUAAGCAAUAUGUGCCUUUUUGCGACAAAUCAAAGAAACUUCUAAAAAUAGUUAAGUACCUAAAAGAAAAUUUGUACUAAUUAUUACCAUUAAUUAUUAACAUAUUGAACACAAAAUUUUCCCCUUUUUGUAGGGGGAAAGGGGUAUUUGACUGGAUAUUGCUGCUAAUGAGGAAAUAAGAAUGGACACAAAACAGCGUAGGGAAAAAAUAUGACUAAAUGAAUAAACAAUGGUGAAAAGGUGAACAUAAAAUUAGAAGUAAAGAAAUACCUUUCGUCUACAGUCUCCACAGGAUUUUAAG